RNAcentral lists this long non-coding RNA (559 nucleotides) under Eucalyptus grandis. RNAcentral's name for it is "long non-coding RNA (EGRA_LNC006025)". The record is from RNAcentral. Lineage: Eukaryota; Viridiplantae; Streptophyta; Magnoliopsida; Myrtales; Myrtaceae.
AAGACACUAUGUAGAUAUUCAUUCAGGCAUUUUCACAAACAUAUGGCAGGCAUCUCAGCUUAAUGACCAAAACGCAAAGGGAGAAUUAGCAACUUAAAAUCACAUGACCAUAUCAUAAUCCAAGCAGGCUCGAAUUAAUAGCGUAUCUUCAAUAAGAUGUUGUUUUCACUCUAAAGUUCUCAAUCUCCACCUUUGCAUUAAUGACUCAUACUUGUUUAUUCAAACCCUCAGCUUUUGCCCUCACACGGAUAUCAUUCCCAACAACAUUACUCUUGUAUUUUGACCAUGAAAUCCAAUCACAACUAGUUCUGUUCUACAACAGAAAUCAUGAUCUACUUCAACACCAGACACAGAACCUAGCGGUUUUUCAUAUACAGAUCAUGAUCGAGCCAGAGAGAACGAUCUAAGAGAGAGCGACAGAACUUGCGCGAGACAGAGCAAAUAAGAGAGAGGAAUAGAGAGAGAACCUGAUCCAGCGAAUCCAAUCCAGAGAGAGAAACACCGAUCGAGCAAGCAAGCGUCCGAUCUCCGAGAAAAAAUUAGGUCUUCACAAUCUCCA